GACGAACGCUGGCGGCGUGCCUAACACAUGCAAGUCGAACGGAGAUGUUGAUUUCGGUUGACGUCUUAGUGGCGAACGGGUGAGUAACGCGUGAACAAUCUGACCUUAAGAGGGGGAUAACAACGAGAAAUCGUUGCUAAUACCGCAUAAGACCACAAUGCCGCAUGGCGAAGGGGUCAAAGGAGCAAUCCGCUUAAGGAGGGGUUCGCGUCCCAUUAGGUAGUAGGUGAGGUAACGGCUCACCUAGCCGACGAUGGGUAGCCGAGCUGAGAGGAUGAUCGGCCACACUGGAACUGAGACACGGUCCAGACUCCUACGGGAGGCAGCAGUGGGGAAUAUUGGGCAAUGGGCGCAAGCCUGACCCAGCAACGCCGCGUGAGGGAAGAAGGUUUUCGGAUUGUAAACCUCUGUCGCAGAUGACGAAACAAAUGACGGUAAUCUGUGAGGAAGCCCCGGCUAACUACGUGCCAGCAGCCGCCGUAA
This 483-nucleotide ribosomal RNA is filed under the name uncultured bacterium. RNAcentral describes it as "partial 16S ribosomal RNA". It matches the Rfam family "Bacterial small subunit ribosomal RNA", at positions 28 to 523 of the family's 1533-position model. The record is from RNAcentral.